This is a long non-coding RNA of Cynocephalus volans (Philippine flying lemur), 587 nucleotides long. RefSeq lists it as uncharacterized. The record is from RefSeq and is a predicted model, not a curated record. The transcript has 3 exons. Lineage: Eukaryota; Metazoa; Chordata; Mammalia; Dermoptera; Cynocephalidae.
GCUCCGUGUUUGCUGCGGAGGCGCCUUCGCUCUGGGAACUUGUUCUGUCACCGAGUGCGCCCGGCUGGCCUCUUUGACCCUCUUGGUAUCGGGUGGGCGGCAUCUUGGGUGGCUGGGGUCUGGGACGCCACUUUUCUGGACGCUCCUCGGCUAAGAAGAAGGGCGCGGUUGGAAACCACAUACCCGAAAGGUGGAAAGACUAUCUCCCAGUUGGACAGCGGAUGCCUGGGACUCGGUUCAUUGCUUUCCAAGUUCCUUUGCAAAAGAGUUUUGAAGAGAAAUUUGCUCCAGAAGAACGCUUUUCCCCUUUGAAUCGUUUUAACAAAACCCGAGAACCAAAUGAAGAACUAGGACUGAUAAUUGAUUUAACAUAUACUCAACGGUAUUAUAAGCCAGAGGUAAACAGAACCCUUCAUUGAAAAGAACUUUCUUCAUUCUAAUACUAAAAAAAUUCAUGGUAAUUCAGCAGUAAUUCAGAAGUUGUCAUCUUGUGCUAAUGUUAAGGCCGGCCUUCUUUCCUGGGUGAUAAUUUUAAUAAGCGAACCAAAUGGUUUCCUUAAUUAAAUAUUUUUAAUUGCUGACUUAAA